Molecule: long non-coding RNA, 426 nt
Organism: Cyprinus carpio carpio
Lineage: Eukaryota; Metazoa; Chordata; Actinopteri; Cypriniformes; Cyprinidae
Source: Ensembl
GCAGAAACUACUACACUUGGCACCACUUCUGUUGAAUCUUCCACUCUGGGUACCACUUCUGCAGAGACUACUACCUUUGGAACCACUUCUGCAAGACCCUCUUCUAGACAAACUACUCCCCUAAGCAAAAUUUCUGCAGAAACACUACCUUUGGUACCACUUAUGUAGAAACUACUACCCUUGAAACCACUUCUGCAGAAACUACUACCAUUGGCACCAGUUCUGUAGAAAGUAGUACCCAUGGCACCACCUCUGUAGAAACUACUAUCCUGGGCACUACUUCUACAGGAACCACUUCAGAAGAAACUACCAUCUUUGGAGACACUUCUGUUGAAACUACUACCCUGGAAUUCACUUCUACAGAAACUACUGCCUUUGAAACAACUUCUGUAGAAACUAUUAGCCUGGAUACAACUUCUGCUGAAA